CAGCCGCCGCGGGAAUACGAAGGGUGCAAGCGUUACUCGGAAUUACUGGGCGUAAAGCGUGCGUAGGUGGUGGUUUAAGUCCGUUGUGAAAGCCCUGGGCUCAACCUGGGGAUUGCAGUGGAUACUGGGUCACUAGAGUGUGGUAGAGGAUAGUGGAAUUUCCGGUGUAGCAGUGAAAUGCGUAGAGAUCGGAAGGAACAUCUGUGGCGAAGGCGACUAUCUGGGCCAACACUGACACUGAGGCACGAAAGCGUGGGGAGCAAACAGGAUUAGAGACCCCCGUAGUCCCUGUCUCUUAUAC
RNAcentral lists this ribosomal RNA (301 nucleotides) under uncultured bacterium. Its description in RNAcentral is "partial 16S ribosomal RNA". It matches the Rfam family "Bacterial small subunit ribosomal RNA", at positions 509 to 807 of the family's 1533-position model. The record is from RNAcentral.